UACGGAGGGUGCGAGCGUUGUCCGGAAUCACUGGGCGUAAAGGGCUCGUAGGUGGCGCGACAAGUCAACGGUGAAAGCUCGGCGCUCAACGCCGAGUCGGCCGUCGAUACUGUUGGGCUGGAGCACUGUAGAGGCUCAUGGAAUUCCGGGUGUAGCGGUGGAAUGCGUAGAGAUCCGGAAGAACACCGGUGGCGAAGGCGGUGAGCUGGGCAGUUGCUGACACUGAGGCGCGACAGCGUGGGGAGCAAACAGG
RNAcentral lists this ribosomal RNA (253 nucleotides) under uncultured bacterium. Its description in RNAcentral is "partial 16S ribosomal RNA". It matches the Rfam family "Bacterial small subunit ribosomal RNA", at positions 524 to 776 of the family's 1533-position model. The record is from RNAcentral.